AUGCACUGGUAUGCGCGGUGGAAAAUGUGCGUCCCGAAGAAGAAGGAUGGCAUGGGGUUUAGAGACCUUCAUAAUUUUAAUCUUGGUAUGUUAGCAAAGCAGUGUUGGCGACUUCUCCAAAAUCCUGUCUCUCUGUGUGCACACGUGCUGAGUGCUAAGUACUAUCCAGAUGGUGACAUACUAAAAGCAGGCCCAAAGAAAGGUUCCUCGUUCACAUGGCAAAGCAUUAUUGCAGGAAUUGUAAGUGCAUCUAGUGCCACCCCUAGUUGGUUUUGGAGUAUUGACGACAAACCUAGUUGA
RNAcentral lists this ribosomal RNA (300 nucleotides) under Triticum aestivum (bread wheat). Its description in RNAcentral is "partial small subunit ribosomal RNA". The record is from RNAcentral. Lineage: Eukaryota; Viridiplantae; Streptophyta; Magnoliopsida; Poales; Poaceae.